AUGGAUCACGUGGCCCUCAUCUCUGCUCCUCUGGGACCGCACCUGCUGUUUGAAAACUUUGAGGAAACCGUCAGACACAAUCAUCUUUUCUUUGUCUCAGAACCACGGAUCGUCUCACCAAACAUCACAUUGUACCCUGUCUGGAAAGGUAAACUGGGAAACUCAGCAGUCAGACUGAUUUGCACUGUCAGUGGCUUCUAUCCAGAAAAACUGAGUGUGGAGUGGCAACACGACCAACGACCCCUGAAUAUUGUUCAAAACAAACUAAAGCUGCAAAGUAUGGAAGGGAGAGAAAAUACCUUCAGCCUCAGCAGUGAGAUUGAGCCAAAUAUCACAGAGUGGACAACAGGCAGCAGUUUCACAUGCAAGGCCACUCAUGAAGGAAGUGAAUAUGAAAAAACAAGUAUUUGUGAGAUGCAUGCAAGUACUCCACCCUCUAUGAUCCUGGACACUCCCAGCUUCAAGACUGUGAUGACGGCUCCCUCUGAUGUGAAAGCCACAUGCUUGAUCAGCACUGUUUUUGAUGCCAAGGUGACCUGGCUUUUGAACGAACAAGUUUCACCAAGUAACACUGUUUCUAAAUCUGAAAACACAAGUUAUGUAACAAGUGAAGUAACUGUUCCUUCAACAAAGUGGAAGCAGCUGAAACAUGUUACAUGCAGAGCUGAACAUGCAUGUUUUUCAUCUGUGGAAAAGACCAAAAACAUCACAGAGCCUGAAGUUCCUGCUCCAGUGGUGAUGAUAAGCAGAUCUCUUCCAGAUCUUCUCAAGGGAAACAGUACUGUGCUUAAGUGUGAAAUCACACAACUUUCCUCACAUGAUCUCUCCAUCACAAUUCAGACAAAUGGAGUUGACAUCUCUGACAAUCAAUAUGUUGAUUUUCACAAAGCCUCAGACAUUCAUUCAGUGACCAAACACUUCAAUGUUCCUGAAAAAUACUGGAAAAAAGACCAAAGUUUCACUUGCAAGGUGAAUCAAGGUUUUUCCAGCAGCAGCUCAUCCCAAUCUAUUGGCAAGAUUUUUGUGGAUCCAUCAGUGGAACUUCUUCUGAUCCUCAGUCAGGACUCUGAUUCACAAACACUCUCAUGCUCUGGAAGUGGCUUCGACCCUCAAAUCAAAUGGUUGCCUGAGCUCAAGAUCAGCUCUUCCUCAACAAAAGGCACCAUCACCAUGAGUGCAGAUGGGCGUGUAGCAGUGACCAGUCAACUUCAAGUUCCUCGAUCAGACUGGCAAAGUGGGAACGUCUUCACUUGUGAAGUCUCUGACAAGUUUCUCAACACAGCAGUCAACAAGAGUAUCAGUGUCUGCUCAGUUACUCCAGCAUCCUCUCAGAUUGCUGAGGUUUAUGUUCAUGGACCACCACUGCAGCAGCUUUGGAGCAAAGAAAAGACUGACGAAUAUCACCUGCCUUCUGGUUGGUCACCACCUUAAAGACUUCUCCAUCAGCUGGAAGGUUGACAAUAGCGAGUAUUUAGGACAAAAUUUUCAUCAACAGCAGCCAAAGAGCCACAGCAAUGGGACAGAGACGAUGCAGAGCUUCUUUGGUGUGUCAGCAGAGGAUUGGCAUGCAUAUAAACAAGUGUCUUGUGAGGGAAAACAUCAAUGUUCCAACAAAGGCUACGAGGCCCAAAUCAGCAAAAGCAGAGAUCUGCUCCCACCAACAGUGAAGAUAAUUCAACCAACCGCCUCUGAGAUGUCAGUGUCAGAUAUCUUCACGGCUGUUUGCCAAGUUUCUGGAUUUUCCCCAUCCAAUAUAUUUGUCUACUGGGAGGAGAAUGGAAAGGAACUUCCAUCCUCUCGGUACGUCAAUGGUCCAGUGUGGAAGUACACGAGGAGCAGCUCUUUCUCCAUGAGCAGUAAAUUAAACGUAUCCAAAAGUCUGGACACACCAGUAUAUUCUUGUGUUGUCAUCCAUGAAUCAUCUGAAACACCUUUUCGAAGCACCAUGAAGGAUGUUCUGGCUCCAGUGGCCCUCAGUGAACCUUCAGUCCUCUUGCUUCAGAGUCCUAAUGAACUUGUGUGCCUCGCCUUUGACUUCACUCCUGAAGCCAUCAACAUCACCUGGUUUCGUGAUGGAACCUCAGAAUUGCGGGAUUACAAUACCAGUGAGCCACAAAGAGGUGCAGAUGGAAAGUUUAGCAUUCGGAGCCACCUCCGUCUGUCUCUAAUCGACUUCUAACCAGGAGUGGUGUUCACCUGCAAGGUGACCCAUGCAAGCUUUACAAAGCUCCUCAAUCUAUCCAGACCAGAUACGCUGGAGCAGUGUGAUUUUUUAGAUCACAUCGUCCAUGCUGAAGUGAGCCAAGAUAUAGGCGUGGAAACUGUGCACAUGGCCUUCACCUUCCUCAUCCUGUUCCUUCUAUCUGUUAUCUAUGGUGUUUUUGCUACCAUGUUUAAGACCAAAUUAUGA
Molecule: non-coding RNA, 2410 nt
Organism: Salarias fasciatus (jewelled blenny)
Lineage: Eukaryota; Metazoa; Chordata; Actinopteri; Blenniiformes; Blenniidae
Source: the annotation of a RefSeq genome assembly